AGAGUUUGAUCCUGGCUCAGGAUGAACGCUGGCGGCGUGCUUAACACAUGCAAGUCGAACGAGCCUUCGGGCUAGUGGCGGACGGGUGAGUAACGCGUGAGAAUCUGCCCUCAGGAGGGGGAUAACGGCUGGAAACGGCCGCUAAUACCCCAUAUGCCGCGAGGUGAAAUGAGAAAUCGCCUGAGGAUGAGCUCGCGUCUGAUUAGCUAGUUGGUGGGGUAAGAGCCUACCAAGGCAUCGAUCAGUAGCUGGUCUGAGAGGAUGAUCAGCCACACUGGGACUGAGACACGGCCCAGACUCCUACGGGAGGCAGCAGUGGGGAAUUUUCCGCAAUGGGCGCAAGCCUGACGGAGCAACGCCGCGUGAGGGAUGAAGGCCUCUGGGCUGUAAACCUCUUUUCUCAAGGAAGAAGAACUGACGGUACUUGAGGAAUAAGCCACGGCUAAUUCCGUGCCAGCAGCCGCGGUAAUACGGGAGUGGCAAGCGUUAUCCGGAAUUAUUGGGCGUAAAGCGUCCGCAGGCGGUCUUGAAAGUCUGUUGUUAAAGCGUGGAGCUCAACUCCAUCUCAGCAAUGGAAACUAGAAGACUAGAGUGUGGUAGGGGCAGAGGGAAUUCCCGGUGUAGCGGUGAAAUGCGUAGAUAUCGGGAAGAACACCAGUGGCGAAGGCGCUCUGCUGGGCCAUAACUGACGCUCAUGGACGAAAGCCAGGGGAGCGAAAGGGAUUAGAUACCCCUGUAGUCCUGGCCGUAAACGAUGAACACUAGGUGUCGGGGGAAUCGACCCCCUCGGUGUCGUAGCCAACGCGUUAAGUGUUCCGCCUGGGGAGUACGCACGCAAGUGUGAAACUCAAAGGAAUUGACGGGGGCCCGCACAAGCGGUGGAGUAUGUGGUUUAAUUCGAUGCAACGCGAAGAACCUUACCAGGGUUUGACAUCCUGCGAAUCUUUUGGAAACAGAAGAGUGCCUUCGGGAGCGCAGAGACAGGUGGUGCAUGGCUGUCGUCAGCUCGUGUCGUGAGAUGUUGGGUUAAGUCCCGCAACGAGCGCAACCCACGUCUUUAGUUGCCAGCAUUGAGUUGGGCACUCUAGAGAGACCGCCGGUGAUAAACCGGAGGAAGGUGUGGAUGACGUCAAGUCAUCAUGCCCCUUACAUCCUGGGCUACACACGUACUACAAUGCUACUGACAGAGGGCAGCAAACUCGCGAGAGCUAGCAAAUCCCAUAAACCGUGGCUCAGUUCAGAUCGUAGGCUGCAACUCGCCUACGUGAAGGAGGAAUCGCUAGUAAUCGCAGGUCAGCAUACUGCGGUGAAUACGUUCCCGGGCCUUGUACACACCGCCCGUCACACCAUGGAAGUUGGCCAUGCCCGAAGUCGUUACUCCAACCCUUGUGGAGGAGGACGCCGAAGGUGGGGCUGAUGACUGGGGUGAAGUCGUAACAAGGUA
This 1444-nucleotide ribosomal RNA is filed under the name metagenome. RNAcentral describes it as "bacterial SSU rRNA". It matches the Rfam family "Bacterial small subunit ribosomal RNA". The record is from RNAcentral.